UACGUAGGGUGCAAGCGUUAAUCGGAAUUACUGGGCGUAAAGCGUGCGCAGGCGGUUUAUAUAAGACAGUUGUGAAAUCCCCGGGCUCAACCUGGGGAACUGCAUCUGUGACUGUAUAGCUAGAGUACGGUAGAGGGGGAUGGAAUUCCGCGUGUAGCAGUGAAAUGCGUAGAUAUGCGGAGGAACACCGAUGGCGAAGGCAAUCCCCUGGACCUGUACUGACGCUCAUGCACGAAAGCGUGGGGAGC
RNAcentral lists this ribosomal RNA (248 nucleotides) under uncultured bacterium. Its description in RNAcentral is "partial 16S ribosomal RNA". It matches the Rfam family "Bacterial small subunit ribosomal RNA", at positions 524 to 769 of the family's 1533-position model. The record is from RNAcentral.